UACGGAGGGUGCGAGCGUUGUUCGGAAUCACUGGGCGUAAAGGGCGUGUAGGCGGUCUGUUAAGUCUGAUGUGAAAGCCCGGGGCUCACCCCCGGAAGUGCAUUGGAUACUGGCGGACUCGAGUCUCGGAGAGGAGGGUGGAAUUCCUGGUGUAGCGGUGAAAUGCGUAGAUAUCAGGAGGAACACCGGUGGCGAAGGCGGCCCUCUGGACGAUGACUGACGCUGAGGAGCGAAAGCGUGGGGAGCGAACAGG
RNAcentral lists this ribosomal RNA (253 nucleotides) under uncultured bacterium. RNAcentral describes it as "partial 16S ribosomal RNA". It matches the Rfam family "Bacterial small subunit ribosomal RNA", at positions 524 to 776 of the family's 1533-position model. The record is from RNAcentral.